CAAAAACAUCGCUAAACGAUUUAAAUGGUUAGUCGUUUCUGCCCGGUGGGAUACUAAACAGCCGCAGUACCCUGACUGUGCAAAGGUAGCAUAAUCAUUUGGCUUAUAAUUGAAGUCUGGCAUGAAAGAAAGGACGGGUUAUUACUGUCUCCAAGAAGCUUGUAGAAGUUAUUUAAUAAGUGUAAAUACUUAUAACCAAAUAAUAGACGAGAAGACCCUAGAAAUUUUUUACCACGUUGGUUAAACUAAUUAAUAUUUUGCUGGGGCGGCAAAAUUACAAGUCUAACUUAUUUUUAACGAUUUGAACUAUAUAUAGAGUAAAACUAAAUUACUCUAGGGAUAACAGCAUAAUUUAUAUAAGUUUGUGACCUCGAUGUUGGACUAGGGAUCUUAAUAUUUAGAAGACGUUAAGGAGGGCUCUGUUCGAGCUGCGCACCCUACGUGAUCU
Molecule: ribosomal RNA, 448 nt
Filed under: Xerocrassa roblesi
Lineage: Eukaryota; Metazoa; Mollusca; Gastropoda; Stylommatophora; Geomitridae
Description: partial 16S ribosomal RNA
Rfam family: Bacterial large subunit ribosomal RNA
Source: RNAcentral